GCGUGGGUAACCUGCCGUAUACAGGGGGAUAACACUUAGAAAUAGGUGCUAAAACCGCAUAAGCGCACAGGAUCGCAUGGUCUGGUGUGAAAAACUCCGGUGGUAUACGAUGGACCCGCGUCUGAUUAGCUUGUUGGUGGGGUAGAGGCCCACCAAGGCGACGAUCAGUAGCCGGCCUGAGAGGGUGAACGGCCACAUUGGGACUGAGACACGGCCCAAACUCCUACGGGAGGCAGCAGUGGGGAAUAUUGCACAAUGGGGGAAACCCUGAUGCAGCGACGCCGCGUGAGUGAAGAAGUAUUUCGGUAUGUAAAGCUCUAUCAGCAGGAAAGAAAAUGACGGUACCUGACUAAGAAGCCCCGGCUAACUACGUGCCAGCAGCCGCGGUAAUACGUAGGGGGCAAGCGUUAUCCGGAUUUACUGGGUGUAAAGGGAGCGUAGACGGUGAAGCAAGUCUGAAGUGAA
RNAcentral lists this ribosomal RNA (465 nucleotides) under uncultured bacterium. Its description in RNAcentral is "bacterial SSU rRNA". It matches the Rfam family "Bacterial small subunit ribosomal RNA", at positions 115 to 598 of the family's 1533-position model. The record is from RNAcentral.